CUUCAAUAGACUAAUCAACAUUGAUGAUGAUUAGCAAUUAUACUGCAUCAGGCGCCCAACUUUGUUCUUCAAAGCUGUGAUAGCUCUAAUCUCAUUUGCAGCUGUGAUAUGGGGCUCUACCAUAGGCACCACUCCUGACUUUCAGAGAAGAUUUUCAAUGCCACCUGAACAUCAAUGACAAGACAAGGUCACCAGAAAGGAUUCUUGGACAAGAUCAGUUAAAGAAGCAGACUCACAAGGUGCCUCGCACUGUUUGGGUGAUGGCCAUCUAUAUCACAGGAGGAUAGACUCUGAAAUUCAGAGCAAGAAGAAAGAAAAUUCUCUGGGCUCAGGCUCCUCAUUUUACAGGGCCUGGUGACUAGGAAGCCCCGAAGUGAAAUCUCAUUUCACUCAUAGCAGCAGAUGCAAUUGUCUGAAUUCACUUAUUGGCUGUCUGAGUCUGAUAAUUUCCUAUGCUUGGGCCGCAGUGAGAGUUCCUUUUGAUAUCCUACGCAAAUCUCGCUAGAUGCAAAACCUUG
Molecule: long non-coding RNA, 518 nt
Filed under: Equus caballus (horse)
Lineage: Eukaryota; Metazoa; Chordata; Mammalia; Perissodactyla; Equidae
Description: lncRNA (ENSECAG00000044494.1)
Source: RNAcentral